GAUGAACGCUAGCUACAGGCUUAACACAUGCAAGUCGAGGGGAAACGACAUCGAAAGCUUGCUUUUGAUGGGCGUCGACCGGCGCACGGGUGAGUAACGCGUAUCCAACCUGCCCACCACUUGGGGAUAACCUUGCGAAAGUAAGACUAAUACCCAAUGAUAUCCCACGAAGGCAUCGGAAUGGGAUUAAAGAUUUAUCGGUGAUGGAUGGGGAUGCGUCUGAUUAGCUUGUUGGCGGGGUAACGGCCCACCAAGGCAACGAUCAGUAGGGGUUCUGAGAGGAAGGUCCCCCACAUUGGAACUGAGACACGGUCCAAACUCCUACGGGAGGCAGCAGUGAGGAAUAUUGGUCAAAUGGACGAGAGCCUGAACCAGCCAAGUAGCGUGCAGGAUGACGGCCCUAAUGGGUUGUAAACUGCUUUUAUAAGGGAAUAAAGUGAGUCUCGUGAGACUUUUUGCAUGUACCUUAUGAAUAAGGACCGGCUAAUUCCGUG
This 494-nucleotide ribosomal RNA is filed under the name uncultured bacterium. Its description in RNAcentral is "bacterial SSU rRNA". It matches the Rfam family "Bacterial small subunit ribosomal RNA", at positions 28 to 507 of the family's 1533-position model. The record is from RNAcentral.